Molecule: long non-coding RNA, 261 nt
Filed under: Hordeum vulgare
Lineage: Eukaryota; Viridiplantae; Streptophyta; Magnoliopsida; Poales; Poaceae
Description: long non-coding RNA (HVUL_LNC011725)
Source: RNAcentral
AAUUGGAGUUAUAGAUUAAAAGUUAUAAGCAAUUUAAGAUCAGGUACAAAUCUGUUUCAGAAAUAGAAAACAGAAAAGAUUAAAAAUAAAAAGUGCAGUGUCAGAUCCUGAUUGGUUGUGAGGUGUGCACGUUUUAGGCUAACUAGAGGACGGCCGCAAUAUAAGAAAAACCUUUCGAUUUAUAAUCUAACUAACAGGACCGGUUGGUUUAUUCUAACUAACCGGAAGGUAAGUUGGAUCUAAUCUAAUACGCACAAAAAA